Molecule: long non-coding RNA, 1571 nt
Filed under: Mytilus galloprovincialis (Mediterranean mussel)
Lineage: Eukaryota; Metazoa; Mollusca; Bivalvia; Mytilida; Mytilidae
Source: RNAcentral
AUAUAAUUUACGAAGCUAUGAUUUCAACUUCACCAUUUCGAAUUCUUAAUUUAAUAGUUUUCUUGUGAUUAGCAACCCUCCAUCAAGGAUAUCAUGAUAAUAUAUGUACAUUUUAACAAAGCAUAUCUGUAAAGUCUUACCGACUUGAGUUAAAAAAACAAAUAAUAAUCAUAACCACACUAAACACAUGAGAAAGAUGUUUGAUUAGAGAGUGCCAAUGAGACCAACUCUCUAAAAUAAGUGACAAUAUAUUAAAAAAGUUGAAAAAUUAUAGGUCUAAGUACGGCCUUCAAUUCGGAUUCUUGACUCACACAAAACAGCAACCCUAUAAAGUGAAAACAAUUCAAAAUGGAAAAACCAACGGUCUAUAAUCUAUAUAAAGAAAACAAGAAACACUUAUGAACCACAUCAUCAAACGACAACCACCGAAGAAUGAACUGAGUGCAGUUAUAUAGAUGAAGACACGCACACAACGUAAAAUGUAUCAAAACAUGCAGACUUAUUUUAUUACUACCUAUAUUGUGUUCUAUAAAGGCAUCUACGUUUUAGAUAUUGAAUUAUAUUGUGUCAGAUCAAAAGUUAUUUCGUUACAUGACUUUUUGAUUGUUAUCUCUAUUUCAAUUAAUAUUUUACCUGGUACCUUUGAUAACUAUUUACACCACUAGGUCGAUGCCACUGCUGGCGGACGUUCGUCCCCGAGGGUAUCACCAGCCAAGAUAGUCAACACUUCGGUGUUGACAUGAAUAUCAAUAUUGUGUCAUUUUUAUAAAUUGCUUAUUUAAGAUAUUUAUUAUGUUUUCAGAUAUAGUGCAUCAUUUAGAAUGUUCAUUUUACUGAUUAAGGGCAUCUUAAAAUUGACAAAUUACAAUUGAUGGAAUUGUAUGUUGAAAAUCUAUGCAAGUUUAAUAGAUGUUAGGCAAAUAUACUCAUAAUAGAUACAAGGAUUGAAAUUUCGUUUUCAGGCAAGACAUACCUUUUAGUCUACAAAAAGACUCAUCAGUUGACACUUUAAGGAGGAGCAUUGAGGACCAAAAAUUCCUAAACAUUUUGCCAAAAUGCAGCUAAGGUUAUCUAUUCCUGAGGUAGAAAAGCCUUAGUAAUUUCAAAAAAAUCAGUUUUUGUAAAAUUAUAACUAUGACCAUCAAUGUUAAUUCAUGUCAACUAAGAAGUGCCUGAUUGCUUCAAGCCAUUUUCAAGAAGUUGUGGAAUAAUUAAAUGUGAUAGUGACAAGGACAGACAUGAUCCCUUUAUAUGUCAAUAUCUGUCACACUUGUGACAAAAUAAUACCAUCAACUUGUUUUCGUGAAUAACUCCAUCUGUGAAUGACAGAUCGUUUGAUUGUCACUCAAAUUACCAGUACAUAUAUUUUUAUUUAUCAUUGUACAAAUAUUCUCAACUGAACAAUAUGACUUUUCAACUAUAUUAUUUGUUUUGUAAAUACCAUAAUUGAGUUAUUGUAUUAGGGACACAUAGUUUUAUGUGUCUGAUUGUAUUUAUACUGUUAAGUAUGAUUUUUAUGGUAUGAUUUAUAUAAAAUAUUUAUAUAGAUAAAAUUAAUAAAACAUUGAUAA